RNAcentral lists this ribosomal RNA (253 nucleotides) under uncultured bacterium. RNAcentral describes it as "partial 16S ribosomal RNA". It matches the Rfam family "Bacterial small subunit ribosomal RNA", at positions 524 to 776 of the family's 1533-position model. The record is from RNAcentral.
UACGAAGGGGGCUAGCGUUGCUCGGAAUGACUGGGCGUAAAGGGCGCGUAGGCGGUUCACACAGUCAGGCGUGAAAUUCCUGGGCUCAACCUGGGGGCUGCGUUUGAUACGCGUGGGCUUGAGUUCGGAAGAGGGUCGUGGAAUUCCCAGUGUAGAGGUGAAAUUCGUAGAUAUUGGGAAGAACACCGGUGGCGAAGGCGGCGACCUGGUCCGAUACUGACGCUGAGGCGCGAAAGCGUGGGGAGCAAACAGG